UCGGGGGAAGCCAAAAGCUGUGGCUGUGGCCCGCUUGCGAUACACGAAUGCGAAUCAUCAGCGACAUGGUCGUGGCCCAUGGCCCAUGGCCCAUGGUCGCUUCUUCGCUCAUUCGCCAGUUCGCCAGUUCGUCCGUUCGCCAGGUCUUCCUUCCUCUUCCUCUGGCCGGUCUUCCAGCAGCAGCAGCAGCAGCGCAGGCCCAGGAAAAGGCUCCUGCUCCGGCUCCUGCAAUGUUGCACGACGCCAAUAGCCGCGGGGAAGAUAAGCGAGUGAGCCGCGCUCGUCGCAGUCCUGGGUUCCUCCAGCCUCCUGUCCUCUACUGCUGCCCAGCUUUUGCCCCUGCCUGCACUGGGAAAAACUACUACCUUUAAAAGGUUGGACUUUGCACCGCCUAUUUCUUUCAGUGUGCCCCAGCUCCGACCGAGGUUCUCUGUGCGGCGGUGUGUGCGUUUUCAGAUGCAGUUGCAGCAGGCGGAUGGCGAAUGGCGGAUGGCGGAUGGCGGAUGUUUGCAGCAUAUUUCCUACGGCUGUGCUCAUGUGCACCUUUAAUCCGCUCUGUUUUUCGCAAUUCGGCGUACGAGCAGAUAGGCGAUAGAGUGCGGAGCACCAGGGCGGACCAUUUAAAUUCGAGGUCAAAGGAAACGCAUUUGCAGCUGUGUUUACCCACCGUAGAUUGCGAUUGCGUACAUAAAUUGCGAGCAUAUCGCUCGCCUGCACACACACGCACACACACUCUCGAGUGAAAGGAUUAUCCUAAGAUAGCCAAAAGUUUCAGAUUCCGAUUCUUUAUUGAUAAAAAUAAUCUAUGCCAUUCCGUAGUACUUGUAAAUUAAACGCAUUGCAUUUAAAUCCGUCACAUUUCUGAUUUUACUAUUCCGACUAACUAGAAGUUAAUGACUGAAUAUAGAACAAUAAGUUCUUAACUGAAUCAACUUAUUCAUCGACAUAUUUUUCGAACCUAUGUGUAUGCAUCCAAGAGAUACUCAAAUGAGAGAUGAGUUUAAUGACCCUUGGGCGCUGCGUAAAAUAUAAUUAUAAUACUAUUUCCCCUAUGCCAUCGGGUUAUACACAGUGAUAAUGCAACCUCGGAUGCGGUUAGGAUGUGCGGACAGGAGUCCGGCUGAUGCUCCUCCGCCUCCUACUCCUGGUUCUCCUCGUCGGAAUAAGUGAUUCCCUGGCUCCGUAACUUCGUUCACGCGUCACGCACAAGAGGUCGUGAAAUGGUCAGCGCCAGUUAAUUAGGCAAUAAAACAUGAAUGCCGAAUUGCGUGCGGCGCCUUUUUUUAGCUUAUAAAUACGGAUUUCUAUGUGAGAAAAUUAUCAGUGCGUUGGAGUCGAACGAAAUUGCCACUAUUAAAUCAAGCGAAUCGCCACAACCGAGUGGCAUCGCAUCAGCAUCAGUGGCGCAGACUUUGAGAUACUCAGAUACUCAGACACACAUUCGCAUCCAAUUUGCGAUAAAUAACUGCGGAGACGGAUUCUCGGUUCUGGAUUCUGGAUUCUGGAUCCUGGAUUGUGGGUUCUGGUUUCCAGACUACGACUUCGAAAAUUAAAAGCAAACAUCCAAAUAAGAGAUACCUUUUUUUUUAAGUACUACCAUCUAACAUUAAGAAAAGGAAAGUUCUGGUGAGAUAAACCGAAUUUUAAAGAUGUGAAC
Drosophila mauritiana is the source of this 1657-nucleotide long non-coding RNA. RefSeq lists it as uncharacterized. The record is from RefSeq and is a predicted model, not a curated record. Lineage: Eukaryota; Metazoa; Arthropoda; Insecta; Diptera; Drosophilidae. The transcript has 3 exons.